Molecule: ribosomal RNA, 371 nt
Filed under: Escherichia coli
Lineage: Bacteria; Pseudomonadati; Pseudomonadota; Gammaproteobacteria; Enterobacterales; Enterobacteriaceae
Description: partial 23S ribosomal RNA
Rfam family: Bacterial large subunit ribosomal RNA
Source: RNAcentral
GUGUAGGCUGGUUUUCCAGGCAAAUCCGGAAAAUCAAGGCUGAGGCGUGAUGACGAGGCACUACGGUGCUGAAGCAACAAAUGCCCUGCUUCCAGGAAAAGCCUCUAAGCAUCAGGUAACAUCAAAUCGUACCCCAAACCGACACAGGUGGUCAGGUAGAGAAUACCAAGGCGCUUGAGAGAACUCGGGUGAAGGAACUAGGCAAAAUGGUGCCGUAACUUCGGGAGAAGGCACGCUGAUAUGUAGGUGAAGCGACUUGCUCGUGGAGCUGAAAUCAGUCGAAGAUACCAGCUGGCUGCAACUGUUUAUUAAAAACACAGCACUGUGCAAACACGAAAGUGGACGUAUACGGUGUGACGCCUGCCCGGUGC